Mercurialis annua (annual mercury) is the source of this 1615-nucleotide long non-coding RNA. RefSeq lists it as uncharacterized. The transcript has 2 exons. Lineage: Eukaryota; Viridiplantae; Streptophyta; Magnoliopsida; Malpighiales; Euphorbiaceae. The record is from RefSeq and is a predicted model, not a curated record.
UAAAGGAAUGUAGAGUGUCAGUGUAUUGUCCUAUUGCAAGAACAAGGUACGUGGCAACAUGUGAACGAGCCACGACUGCAUGCGCUGUUGACAGAAUUGGGCUGUAGUUUACAGGCCUAAAACAAAGAGAUGUCAGAUUUAAAUUAUGGGCCCUUAUCUUUUGCAACCGUCGCAUACUACCCACAAGAUUUAGGUGAAACCACUAAACUAUUUAAAAGCAGCCCUUAUCUUCACCACCUCCUCCUACAAAAUUCAAGAUUGGAGAUGAAAUUGUUAAAUAAGGUAAAGUUUUUGCCAUUCAAAAGAGAUCAUAUUUUAGAAAAUUUACUUUUGGCAAUGUUAGUAUGUAUUUUAUUUUGUAAUUAUCAGAAAUUGACUUUCUUGGUUUUUGUUUUAGCUUCUUUUCAUCUGCCAUUUAAAUUAAUAGUUGAUUUUGCGUUAUAAUAUUAAAUACAGACAAUUCAGGUCAAACAUAACAAAAAAGGAAAAUUCAUUUAAAAAAAGAUUAUUUGUCUAAAUUCAAAAUCCAGAGGUGGAACUAGGUACGGGCGAGCCCGUGCGGCCAUCCGGCCUCGCCGGAGAGUCACCAAGGAUUAAUGACAAACCCUCCCAUUUUCCAAUUUGUGUUUUUUUUUUAUAUUUUGCCCUUUUUUCAAUGUUUUGGGUAAAUGAGUAGUUUAGCCCCUAUUUAAAACCAUAAAGACAUUUUUACCCUUCUUUUUCAAAAAUCUAAAACUAAAUUUUAAUCGACAAUAUAAAUUCAAAAUUUUACUUGAAAUCUAACCCCCCCCCCUCGACAUUUGGUCCUGGUUCUAUCACUACCAAGAUCACCCAUGAUGUUCCUGCUCAUAGACACUCCAAUAUAAACACCACUGACAUCAUUUUGAGGGGGUCUUUUGGCGAAUCCACCAUCUACUCCAUUAGGCUUUGAGGAUAUUAAAGACGCAGACAUUAAGCGCUACUCCAAAUUUAUACGUUCACUUGUCGAUUCUAAGAGCUAUUCAACCUAUCUGUUAACGGAGAUAUGGGGCUGUAAUCAUAGUUAUUCUUCCCUCACCACAUGGCGCACUCAGCAUCUCAAGCUCUCUAGUUUGGCCAUAUGAUCCGUAAGUUCUCCUAUAUGUUUUCAUAUACAUUAUUGAUGUUUUAUUGUCAUCAUUUAUGUUGUCAUUGCUUUAUUAGAUACUCCCUCCGGCCCAUUUAAGAAGGGACAUAUCUCAUUUUUAUUUGUCCCACUUAAGAAGGCCAUAUCGUGUUUUUUGUGCCAAUUUAUAUGAAUUUUCCUUUUUUACCCCCUUUUGUCUUUCCAUAAUUAAUGACUAUUAGUCUAUACACAAAAUACAACACUAUCAUAAAUAGGGGUAAAAUAAGAAAACACCAUAGUAGUUAAUGUUUUCUUAAUAUAUGUGAAAAGGUCAUUUGUCCCUUCUUAAAUGGGACGGAGGGAGUAAAUUUUAUUUGUAUGUAAGGUUAAUCGACUCGUAAAGCGAGUAUGCCAAAGUCCGUAAGUACAAUAUGUCACAUUCAUUUAUUUAAUUUCACGUUAUUUGUAGUAAAAUUGAAUGCAUAAUUUUUUUAUGCUGAUUAAUUCUAGCGUAUGUUGUUUGAUUCUCAA